This 534-nucleotide long non-coding RNA is filed under the name Panax ginseng (ginseng). RNAcentral's name for it is "long non-coding RNA (PGIN_LNC001295)". Lineage: Eukaryota; Viridiplantae; Streptophyta; Magnoliopsida; Apiales; Araliaceae. The record is from RNAcentral.
UGCCUUCAGGAUAGCGCUCAUUCAAUAAACGCUUAUAAGUAUCCUGUCAUCAUGUUAACAAUUAAAUAGUUAAAAAUAAAUUCUGUAAGCAUUGAUAAACAAGAUCAAGUUGUUAAAACUUAUUACUGCUAUCUGGAUAGCAUCAGGCUGACCAUCACGGGUGGCCACGUACACAUCCAGCCAAUGGAUAGGCUGACCUUGAGACUGAGACUCCUAUACAAAAAAUAGCACAAUAUUACUAAGUAAAAAUGUGAUAUAUUUUCUACAAUUCAUGAUUGUAAACAUAUUAAAACUUGUAAAUACGUACCCUGGCAGUGAUAUGCUGCAACUAUGAAAUACUGACGCCCUUGUAUGUUCCUUUAACCUUUUCGCCAUCGGGUACACCCGAGGAUCUGUUGGUGGAGGCAGUCUUUCGUCUUUUCACCCAGCUCUCAGCUCUCCAUUGGGCACACAUCUCAGCCCAUAUGGACUGGGUGCACCACCAGGGGCUAUGCUCGUGCAUGUAAUCCUCUCCCUGGCCUAGAUGGUCGAUCU